This 465-nucleotide ribosomal RNA is filed under the name uncultured bacterium. RNAcentral's name for it is "partial 16S ribosomal RNA". It matches the Rfam family "Bacterial small subunit ribosomal RNA", at positions 28 to 507 of the family's 1533-position model. The record is from RNAcentral.
GACGAACGCUGGCGGCGUGCUUAACACAUGCAAGUCGAACGGAAAGGCCCUGCUUGCAGGGUACUCGAGUGGCGAACGGGUGAGUAACACGUGGGUGAUCUGCCCUGCACUUCGGGAUAAGCCUGGGAAACUGGGUCUAAUACCGGAUAGGAGCCAUUUUUAGUGUGAUGGUUGGAAAGUUUUUUCGGUGUAGGAUGAGCUCGCGGCCUAUCAGCUUGUUGGUGGGGUAAUGGCCUACCAAGGCGGCGACGGGUAGCCGGCCUGAGAGGGUGGACGGCCACAUUGGGACUGAGAUACGGCCCAGACGCCUACGGGAGGCAGCAGUGGGGAAUAUUGAACAAUGGGCGCAAGCCUGAUGCAGCGACGCCGCGUGGGGGAUGACGGCCUUCGGGUUGUAAACUCCUUUCGCUAGGGACGAAGCUUUUUGUGACGGUACCUAGAGAAGAAGCACCGGCUAACUACGUG